UGGGGAAUAUUGCGCUAAUGCGCGAAAGCGUGACGCAGCGACGCCGCGUGGGGGAUGAAGGCCCUCGGGUUGUAAACCCCUUUCGGCAGGGACGAAGCGAGAGUGACGGUACCUGCAGAAGAAGUCCCGGCUAACUACGUGCCAGCAGCCGCGGUAACACGUAGGGGACGAGCGUUGUCCGGAUUUAUUGGGCGUAAAGCGCGCGUACGCGGCCCGGAAAGUCGGUUGUGAAAUCCCGGGGCUCAACCCGGGACUGCGUCCGAUACUUCCGAGCUUGAGGCAGGUAGGGGAGAUCGGAAUUCCUGGUGUAGCGGUGAAAUGCGCAGAUAUCAGGAGGAACACCGGUGGCGAAGGCGGAUCUCUGGGCCUUGCCUGACGCUGAGGCGCGAAAGCUAGGGGAGCGAACAGGAUUAGAUACCCUGGUAGUCCUAGCCGUAAACGUUGGGUGCUAGGUGUGGGCGGACAUCGACCCCGUCGUGCCGAAGCUAACGCAUUAA
RNAcentral lists this ribosomal RNA (497 nucleotides) under uncultured Actinomycetes bacterium. RNAcentral describes it as "bacterial SSU rRNA". It matches the Rfam family "Bacterial small subunit ribosomal RNA", at positions 355 to 863 of the family's 1533-position model. The record is from RNAcentral. Lineage: Bacteria; Bacillati; Actinomycetota; Actinomycetes.